GAAAAAAUGGCGUCUACAAGUGCUUUCACAGCUGGGAUUUCAAAUCUUCAUAGCUUCAAAAAACCGUGUCCUAAUGCAAAUCAAGUUGGUAUGUGGACUUUAUCAAGACCUGGUUGUCGAAAGGUUUUAGAUAAUCCCAGACCUCUGCAAAUAUGUUCUCUGUUUGGAGGAAAAAAGGACAAUAAUGAGCAGAACAACGAUGCUCCUUCAAAGGCAGGUCUUUUUGGCAACAUGCAAAACUUAUACGAGACAGUGAAGAAGGCGCAAAAUGUGGUUCAAGUUGAGGCAGUGCGAGUACAAAAAGAGCUUGCUUUAGCAGAGUUUGAUGGAUACUGUGAAGGUGAACUAAUCAAGGUAACACUGUCUGGAAAUCAGCAGCCGAUACGCACUGAAAUUACUGAGGCUGCCAUGGCAUUAGGCCCAGAAAAACUCUCACUUCUGAUUACAGAGGCAUACAAGGAUGCGCAUCAGAAAAGUGUACUGGCAAUGAAG
This 492-nucleotide unclassified non-coding RNA is filed under the name Hevea brasiliensis (rubber tree). The record is from RNAcentral. Lineage: Eukaryota; Viridiplantae; Streptophyta; Magnoliopsida; Malpighiales; Euphorbiaceae.